AAAAUAGUGUACUGCAGUGGCGGCAAGAGUCCAUUGACUUGGGGUGGGGAAGAUGGGGCUCAGUUUCGAAUAUGGAGAUAAGCCUUAGAGCUUCACUGGUGCUUCUCUCUGCACUACAACUGUGUUUCAACCCGUGUCCCACAAAUUUGGGAAAGAAAUCACAAAUGAAAGAUGGAAUAAAAUGAUCCAACAGGUUGUACCUUGAUACACCAUGCUGGUUACAAGACACUUGCAGUGUCGUCUAAAUGCGGGAGGUCACAAUAUCCUGUUCCAAUGUUAGCAUCAAUUGGCUAAAUAGAAAACAGAAGAGCAACCUCGCACAAAAGCAAGGAGGAAAAAGCUGAAAGAAAAAAUUAAGACAGA
Non-coding RNA from Odocoileus virginianus texanus, 363 nucleotides. The record is from RefSeq and is a predicted model, not a curated record. NCBI's taxonomy places the organism in Eukaryota, Metazoa, Chordata, Mammalia, Artiodactyla, Cervidae.